AGGACGAACGCUGGCGGCGUGCUUAACACAUGCAAGUCGAGCGGAAAGGCCCUUCGGGGUACUCGAGCGGCGAACGGGUGAGUAACACGUGAGCAACCUGCCCCUGGCUCUGGGAUAGCCUCCGGAAACGGGGAUUAAUACCGGAUAUUCACUGCUCCCUGCAGUGGGGGGUGGUGGAAAGUUUUUCGGCUAGGGUGGGCUCGCGGCCUAUCAGCUUGGUUGGGGGGUGACCGGCCCACCAAGGCGACGACGGGUAG
This 257-nucleotide ribosomal RNA is filed under the name uncultured bacterium. Its description in RNAcentral is "partial small subunit ribosomal RNA". It matches the Rfam family "Bacterial small subunit ribosomal RNA", at positions 26 to 286 of the family's 1533-position model. The record is from RNAcentral.